RNAcentral lists this unclassified non-coding RNA (383 nucleotides) under uncultured Pseudomonadota bacterium. RNAcentral describes it as "uncultured proteobacterium contains 16S-23S intergenic spacer region". The record is from RNAcentral. Lineage: Bacteria; Pseudomonadati; Pseudomonadota.
UCCGGCUUAUCACCGGCAGUUCCACUAGAGUGCCCAGCUUAACCUGAUGGCAACUAGUAGCGAGGGUUGCGCUCGUUGCGGGACUUAACCCAACAUCUCACGACACGAGCUGACGACAGCCAUGCAGCACCUGUGUUCCAGCCAGCCGAACUGAAGAAAACCAUCUCUGGUAAUCAUACUGGACAUGUCAAACGUGGGUAAGGUUCUUCGCGUUGCUUCGAAUUAAACCACAUACUCCACCGCUUGUGCGGGCCCCCGUCAAUUUCUUUGAGUUUUAGCCUUGCGACCGUACUCCCCAGGCGGGAUACUUAUUGCGUUAGCUUUAGUACUCAGGAGGUUAAUUUCCCAAACACCUAGUAUCCAUCGUUUACGGUGCGGACUAC